GGGAACCCCGUUCUCCGAACCUACGACAUUGCCGCUGUCCGGCUCCUCAGCCAGGAGACCUUCGACGAGGCCUGCAAGUUCUCUGAGGUCACUAGUAGCUACUGCCUUAAGAAAGAAGCAUUGUUAUAAGGAAGCUAUCAGAAUUGAAAGAAUCUUGCCUAAUGAACAGUUGGACUCUAAAAGGGUUUGGUUUGGUGACUGUAACAAUGGGGAUCCUAUCUCUACCGGGCAACGUGAUUCACCAUUGUUGGACACAAAGUUUUUCUCUUCUGCCAGCAAACUGUCUAAAUUUCAAAUGCAAUUGAUUUCUCAUCAAUAGCUGAUGGAACACCCUUCUGAUUCAGUAAACAUGAAACACAGAUCUCCUCUCCUAAGAAAUUGGAGUCAUCUGCUUCUGCAAAUGACACCCCUCUUGCUGCAACUGAUGAUGUUGCACUGCAAGAGACAUCUAAUGAAUUUCUAGAUGAGAAUAGGGUGCCAAUGGCUACAACACCAUUAGAGCGGCAAAAGUCUGUCAUAAAUGUUUUGGUUUCAUUGGUUGACUUGGAAACAUCAUUGGCUGAUGCUGAAGAGCCUAGCCCAGAUGUUGUGGUCAAUGAGGACCUGAAAAGUUCCAGUGUACGUGGGAUUUCUGGUAUAGUUGAUGUGCUUUUAUAUAAUGCAGUAUUGGAGGAUUGCAAGCUUACUGGCGAAGAAAAUCUCUUAUCAUCUAAAGCUAAUCAGGCAUGGUCGAAUGCUUUUGAGGACAGCGAGUCAUCCGAUAGAUGUUUGAAGGAUCAUGCAAGUCCAGAGCUGUCUGACAAUGUUCCAGUUGCAAUUGAGACUCCUACAGAUGUCUCAGAAGAAAUGUAUGGCAUCAGUGUUGCAAGCAAUCGGAUUUCAUCAGAAGAUAAUGAGUCAUUUUUCACCAGUUCCAUCGACAAGGAUAUGCGAAUCAAAUGACAGAGAAAUGCUGCAAGAAAUAAAGUAUGAAUAUUUGAAUGCCUAUGGCACAUCUUUGUGGAGGGGUACUGCAAAGCCCCCAGCAAGUGAUCAAAGGAGAAGUUGUUUUGAUUGAAAGUGAUGAAGUAUCGAGGGAGUUGACUUCUAACAAAAGUGAAAAAAUAGAAAAUGGUUCAGCAGCUGCAAGACUAAAUCAGUGAAACGAGGAAGCAAGCAAAGGUUGGUCUAUCCAGCUCUCCCAUUGCCUUGCAAGGGUUUGAUUAAGCCAAUUCUUUUCAAGAAGAAAAAAUGGCAAUUCCAAAGACUAAGAAAACAUUUGUAAGGAUGUCUAGUGAUUUUUAACUUUUAACGAACAUUUUUAUUAAUACUAUUACUUCUUCCCAUUCUGCAAUGUGCUUUA
This is a non-coding RNA of Phoenix dactylifera (date palm), 1342 nucleotides long. Lineage: Eukaryota; Viridiplantae; Streptophyta; Magnoliopsida; Arecales; Arecaceae. The record is from RefSeq and is a predicted model, not a curated record.